UUAGAGUUUGAUCCUGGCUCAGGAUGAACGCUAGCGACAGGCUUAACACAUGCAAGUCGAGGGGCAGCGGGGUAGUGCUUGCACUACUGCCGGCGACCGGCGCACGGGUGAGUAACACGUAUGGAACCUGCCCGCAGCAGGGGGAUAAGCGGAAGAAAUUCCGUCUAAUACCGCGUAACAACGUUGGGAGGCAUCUCCCGAUGUUUAAAGAUUUAUCGGCUGCGAUGGCGAUGCGUCCCAUUAGCUAGUUGGCGGGGUAACGGCCCACCAAGGCUCCGAUGGGUAGGGGUUCUGAGAGGAAGGUCCCCCACACUGGAACUGAGACACGGUCCAGACUCCUACGGGAGGCAGCAGUGAGGAAUAUUGGUCAAUGGACGCAAGUCUGAACCAGCCAAGUAGCGUGCAGGAUGACGGCCCUCCGGGUUGUAAACUGCUUUUAGUUGGGAAUAAAAGGGGGCUCGUGAGCCCCGUAUUGUAUGUACCAUCAGAAAAAGGACCGGCUAAUUCCGUGCCAGCAGCCGCGGUAAUACGGAAGGUCCGGGCGUUAUCCGGAUUUAUUGGGUUUAAAGGGAGCGUAGGCCGGCUUUUAAGUCAGCUGUGAAAGUCCGCGGCUCAACCGUGGAAUUGCAGUUGAAACUGGAGGCCUUGAGUGCACACAGGGAUGCCGGAAUUCAUGGUGUAGCGGUGAAAUGCUUAGAUAUCAUGAAGAACUCCGAUCGCGAAGGCAAGUGUCCGGGGUGCAACUGACGCUGAGGCUCGAAAGUGCGGGUAUCAAACAGGAUUAGAUACCCUGGUAGUCCGCACCGUAAACGAUGAAUACUCGUGUCCCGCGAUAUAUUGGUGGGACACUUAGCGAAAGCGUUAAGUAUUCCACCCUGGGGAGUACGCCGGCAACGGUGAAACUCAAAGGAAUUGACGGGGGCCCGCACAAGCGGAGGAACAUGUGGUUUAAUUCGAUGAUACGCGAGGAACCUUACCCGGGCUUGAAAUGUGCAGGACUCAGGCAGAGACGCCUGUUUCUUCGGACCUGCAUGUAGGUGCUGCAUGGUUGUCGUCAGCUCGUGCCGUGAGGUGUCGGCUUAAGUGCCAUAACGAGCGCAACCCUUCUCCCCGUUUGCCAUCAGUUAAUGCUGGGCGCUCCGGGGACACUGCCAUCGUAAGAUGUGAGGAAGGUGGGGAUGACGUCAAAUCAGCACGGCCCUUACGUCCGGGGCUACACACGUGUUACAAUGGGGGGUACAGAGGGCCGCUAUCCCGCGAGGGUGCGCCAAUCCUCAAAACCUCUCUCGGUUCGGACUGGAGUCUGCAACCCGACUCCACGAAGCUGGAUUCGCUAGUAAUCGCGCAUCAGCCAUGGCGCGGUGAAUACGUUCCCGGGCCUUGCACACACCGCCCGUCA
This 1399-nucleotide ribosomal RNA is filed under the name uncultured bacterium. RNAcentral describes it as "16S ribosomal RNA". It matches the Rfam family "Bacterial small subunit ribosomal RNA". The record is from RNAcentral.